UCAAAACGUUUGUUUCCCUUAUGUUCCACCACUUUUCAACCCCCUUUCGAUCUCCAGACCAACAUCGAUGUCGAACCUCUGCAUCUCUCGCCUUCCUUCCAACGAAAACGAUAACCCUAAUCGACCCUCCGAUCAGUGGUCGACGAUCUAGAGUGUAAUUUUCAUAUCAGUCUCAAGAAUUGGAGAGCCUAACGAUGAACAAAAAGCAUUUAGAACGUGAUGCGAUCACACCUUAGAAUAAUCCGAUGCAUGUUUGAAGUCAGUUCCCUUCAGCGAUUCUUUUUCAGAAGAAUCCAUGGUGCGGUGUCCUUGAAGUUCUGUAUGGGGUUUGCUGCAGUGAUAAAUCAGAGAAUGUGGUGCAAUUUGGGUACCAUGGAUUUUGUGUUAUUGUUUGCUUCGCCUGCCAAUUACAAAUCCAUAGGAACUCAACCCUUUGCCUAUAUUUAACAGUUCCCUUCUAAUCAAAUUGUCCCUAAAUUAUGGUAAGUUGGAUACAAGUGCUAUUUUGAGGACCAUUUAUGUUGGCUUUAAAGAAACAAGUCAGUCAACAACUUGUCUUAUUGAUGGAUUACUGAAUAAUGGAUUACUUGGUUUGAUUUUUUUAUUUCUCUGAAGUGGAAUCAAAUGCUCUGGUGUUGUUGACACUUGACAGAUCAGCGCCCUGCUAAUGGAGCUCCAUAACCAACCGGCGAUUGAAGGUCCUCGAGGGGUGUCUCCUCAAUCGGCGGCUUGAUGGUGUUCCUUCCCAUGAAGAUAAACUUGGUGCAAAUGAUAAUUUAGCCUUUACACCUAUUGGAGACUAAGAAUCUAUUGUCAAGAUACCUGAACUAUAAAUGGGUUGCAUACGACUAUUGGACGAGGCUCAUAAUAUCAGUGUAUUUGGGAAAACAGGAAGAGGUGUGUGAGCUUUUCCACGUGGAUGCGAUGUGGAUAUCAUGAAGCAUUAAUAACUGGUUGUUAUAUCUACCUCCACAUGAAAACACUAUUGUAAACAAGUAAUGUUUUGUUCACAACAGCAGCCUGAUCCGCCAUUGGAGGACACACAUUAACUGGUAUAGACCGAAGAAAGAGGAAGGUGAGUACAAAACAUGUCAAUUAGGUGAGGAAAUUCAGAGCUUGAUUUUGGUCUUUCCACCGGUGGAGACCGGUAACAUUCACGGCGCAUCUAGACUCGACUGAAUCAGACGGUGUUGCGAAAAGAACGACUUCUCUAUCAUCAUCAUAUCAAUUUUUUCCUACUCCAAAUUGCAUCAUCCUAAGAUCUGCUUCUGUUUUUAUUCGAGCGUGGGUGAUCAAGAAAAUGAAACCAAGGAAUUAAGUUAAACACCCAGGUUAAUGUAAGCGUGGGCGACCCAGAAAAAAAAAAAGAAACAUAAUAAUUACAAGUCCCAGGAUGUUACGGGCAAGGUCUCGAGAAAAAUUCAAAGAUGGAGUUCAUGAAUCGGUUGAUGAACCUUCACGCAAACCAGAUAGUAAAGAAAGUAAGAGAAAAUGAAGAAAAAUAUGAAAAAAUAUAACAAAUAUGAAUUUAAAGGUAAAAACACACUUAAGAUAUUUAUUUGAUAGAAUGAACUAUGAGCAAAAUUUCAUUGAUGCUUAUGUUGGAUAGGGGUGAAGAGGACACAGAAAAUGACAGCGCUUUAUUCUUCAUCUCAAAACAUUUCCUUGUCAUUAUUGUUAAUUUGUUAUCAAGUUUGGAUAUUGCUAUCUUCUUGCUUUGGCUCGUCAACCUAGUGAUUGGAUAUGGAAAACUGGGUGGGAUGACCCAUUUCAGUAACAAGUUCAGCUCAAAAUGAGUACUUCUAGUCAAGGGUGCAUGCCUGUACACGACUAGAUUGAGUAAUUGUGUCAAGAUGUUGGACCUAACCGACUAACCUGUACACGCUAAGCUGGAUAUUGCUACAUUCUUGCUUGUAACGGGAAAAUAGGUUAUGCCAAAAUGAGUGAUUUUGAUUCGAUAAAAGUUAGAUACGCGGGUCAAACUGGUUUGGGUCAAAAUUUAGUGGCAUGUGCAUUUCAAGUAACUUUUGGGUGAAAUAGCUUAGGUUUGCAUUAUUUACUAUAGAAGAUAAAAAUGGUGGAUCAUCCUCGUUUUGGUUACAUGCCAAACGAAGUGGGUCAAAUUGAGUAUUUAAUUUAUAAUUUGUAUUUUGUGUUUU
Helianthus annuus (common sunflower) is the source of this 2159-nucleotide long non-coding RNA. RefSeq lists it as uncharacterized. The record is from RefSeq and is a predicted model, not a curated record. The transcript has 9 exons. Lineage: Eukaryota; Viridiplantae; Streptophyta; Magnoliopsida; Asterales; Asteraceae.